AAGAUCAGAAAGGCUAGGAAAACCGCACAAAGUCCCCACAUUGGCACUGCUGGCAGAAAGGUAGGAAAAUAGGAUUCAGUCCUACCCCCAUGUGUUUAUCCCCUGCUGGGGAAAAAUUCAUCCUUUGAGAUUUACUCGUUUGUCACCCUCCUCUCUCUUCUCACCCUUUAAAGGGUAGCUGUCUACUCCAAUCCUGUAAAGAAAAUAGGGCCUGCUGGUAUGAGCAUGGAGCUAAGGGUGAGCAAUUUGGGAGAACUGUUCACAGGUCUCAUGAUCCACAACUUGGGUUAACUUGGAUAGCCUGAGUUUCCACUUAAGGGUAUCCCAUUACCUUUACAAAAACAUUCAUUCUAGGUUAUUUCUAUAAUGUGAACAGGAGUCAGGCAUGGGGGAGGAGACAGUGCUCAUACACUGGGAGGAAAACACUAUGAGGUAAGGUAGACUGUGUUUCCUGUAAGUAAACAGAGUAUGGAUGACUUGAGAAAAACACAACAACAACAACAAAAAAUUUAGACACUGCUUUCACUAAGCUUUCAACCUACGGACACUAGUUGCAUUUGACUAUUAUCUUCGUAUUUUUCUAUUUUAUUUUUUCUUUUCUCUUAUGUGUAACUCAUUUUAUCCUGACUACAAAUUUGAUCUAAAAUAUUAGUAAUUCUGGAUUUUCUGUUAUGAACUUUAAGAGACAUGAUCUAAUGUAUUUGGAUUUACAGAGAUUUGUUUUUUAAAUAAAAAAAUAAAGUGAAGAAAAGAUUUAUUUUUUAUUUUUUUAUGUACUUUUUUUUUUUUUUUGCCCUCCCUUAGAACAUGUUUUUUUUCCUUAAUCAAAGGAUGACAGGUUCUGCAACCACACCCAGCAAGUCUCUUAAAAAUAUUGAUAAAGCUGUCACUGCAGACACAUUCUCUGGGCUUGAUUUUUGAAAAGAAGGCCACAUGUGUUCCCUGCACAUAGGUCAAUCAUUGUGGUUACUAGGUAUGUGUUAACAGGUAGGUUGAAUUAAUUUAAAUCUUUUUCACAUGGUGUUAGCUAAAUCUAUCAGGGGUAUUCCCACAAUUUAUUUGAAUUCU
This 1068-nucleotide long non-coding RNA is filed under the name Canis lupus familiaris (dog). Its description in RNAcentral is "lncRNA (ENSCAFG00000053622.1)". The record is from RNAcentral. Lineage: Eukaryota; Metazoa; Chordata; Mammalia; Carnivora; Canidae.